GCCAUAGCUCAAUGGUAGAGCAUCUGCCUUGCAUGCAGAAGGUCUCAGGUUCAAUCCCCAGCAUCUCCA
Non-coding RNA from Podarcis lilfordi (Lilford's wall lizard), 69 nucleotides. Lineage: Eukaryota; Metazoa; Chordata; Lepidosauria; Squamata; Lacertidae. The record is from the annotation of a GenBank genome assembly.